AAAAAACAUGGCGGUUAUUUUCUUGCAGCACCAAAAGAUCAGGGUAUGAUCAACAUCCUCCUUCAUGUCUCCUGAGCUUCCCUCCAUUUCUGAUCCAUCUCUUCAUUCUCCUCCCCCCUCUACAGUAUCUGAAGAGCUCCUCUGAGGAUAUCUCUCUUUCCCCAGAUGGUUGGAGAUUGCCGCUCUCCGGUUGCUGACACAGAACGGUCCCUGUUUCUUUGUUUCCACUGGUGACAGGCAGAGCGGAUGGGAGCUCUUUCCAGUAGGUGAGAUAUGAUUGUGUUGGUUUACACACUCCUCUGCACACACAAACAACCUCAAAGGUUUGAAGACACCAGACACCACCCUUCAUGCAGCCGUGGUUGUGCGUCCCCUCUAUGCCCACCUCCUUGUUAGGGUGCGAGUGCACGCACCUGAUUGAUCACCUUUUGUUUUAUGUACAGUGGAGCAGCAAGAGUUGUGUGAUUUGUUUAUGAUGUCAAACAGCCUCACUCUCGAUGUGCGUGUGAGAGAGACAGGGAGAGAAAAAUACAUACAGGAUGGAUUUUUUUUUUCCUGCCCUCUGGCCCACAUGCACACACACCAGCGCGCACACACACACACACUCAAAGUGUCAUGAGACUGUCAGCAAUGGCUUUGGCUACAACUCCUCCAGGCAUGUGGUCCUGCCACCUAUAAUCUACAAUGAGCAGAAAUGAGUUUCCUUUGUAGACGCUGCCUUUCCUGGACACACACACACACACACACACACACAUAUAAGCUAAUCAUACAUGCAGCUGGUGUAAUAAUAAGGCAGGGUGCAGACAGUGCUGGAAUAACUACUGAGACAGGGUGAUAUUUCACAACCUCAAUAAUUGGAUACGUCUCUAUUCCCUAAUUACGAUCUAAAUCACAUACGCUGCAGCUCCAUACAUACAGUAUACAGAUAAAACAGAAAUGACACACGCUCACACACACACACACACAUAUUGUGUCUGUAAAUUUAUGCAUGAGCAAAUUCAAGCGUGAGUCUCACUGACACACACUCACAUGCAAACAAAACAACAAAAAACAUGUUCGUACAUGUACAUGUAAGUUUCCGCCGUCUCGUAAAAGCUGAUGUUUUAUACAACGCCAUAAUGUGUAACGUGCUGCGGUUCUACAUCAGCUACUUAUCAUACUUUUAUGCAGUGUGAAGCAGCUUUUGUCGUAUAUAAAGUACAUGCAUUAUGAAAGAAGUGUCUUUUGAGAAGUAGCAGCACUACAUCAGGGCACGGUGGGUGUUAGCAUGCAUGGAAAUAAACACUGAAGAGAGUUUUCUCGCCGUGUGAGAGCUCUGAGGUCAGUGCACGGGAAAGAAGAGGAGCUUCACACCACGGCGACAUUGUGUUGGUUGUAUUUCAGCGUUUUGGUCUAAACCACUGAAUCAUUUUAAGAGUUUUUUUCUCGGUGGCAGAAAACACAAUGUAAGCUUCUUUUGUGAUACUCUAUUGAUCUCUGGGAGGAAAAUAAUCCUUUUGCUUGCGCCUUUGCAGGGAGGUCAGAGAGCAGGGUUAUCUACAGAGCAGUGUCAGGUUAGAAAAUAUGAGCACCAUUAUCAGCAGCAUAGCAGCCAGCUGUGGAGAACAAACCCGAGUCAAGAGGCGGACGAGAUGGGAGUGUCUGAUAUGUGGUCCGGCUAAAGUUGACAUCUCAUAGACUGUAUAUACUACGGACGACUUGGUCCCGCCUUCCGCCAGUUAACGGGUUUGAAGACGAAAAACUCUUCGUAAUUCCGCGUUUUUUCCUUCACUUCCAGAAACCAACAUUACGCAGUAGCGUUGUACACAUUUGGUGGGAGAGUCGCUGUGAUGAUGCUCGGCUCAAACAGCAUAACCCACCGAUGCGAUAUUUUUUUCCGUUGCAUGGUAGGGGAAGGUCCCGCCUCCUUCACCUCUGAUUGGCUAGAAGUGCUCGGCUCCGAUUGGUUAUUUCUUAUGGCUGUAAAACGUCAUCGUCUGUCGGGUUAAGGUUAUGGUAAGGAGAUUCAGGAGUGCGAUAAUGUUCUGUUCGAUGUACAGAGCCGAACGCCCGUGCUCAGCUUGAGUGUGUGAUGAUGUUUCCAGCUUUUCUAGCCAAUCAGAGGCGAAGGAGGCGGGACCUUACUAUCCUAUAUAAAAAAUAUGGCCCCCCUAGUUAGCUACGCAAUCUUUGUACGCCUAUAGGCUGUAUCAAGUGUCAAUCAUAGGGAACAUGCUCACUUAGCAAUAGACAGCUAUUAGACAUCCAAUUUUUUUAUUUAGAUCUAAUUUCAAUCGUCUAGAUUCUGUAUAUUUUUAGACGGAAUUUAGACGUUGCACUUUAACCCGUUAUUCAAUAACUAUUUAUUUCAAAAAGCAACUGUGAGCUGCAUAACUGAUCACCAAGUACUGAACCAGAAUAAUUAUGAUAGCUGUUGAGCAAAAUACAGUGUAGUAUAGAUAAAGAUUCAGACUUGGUCUAAAUUUAGAGGUCUAAAAAACGUUCAUUUUUAGACCUGUGGUAGCAGGUUUUAGACCAGUCGUUAAGGCUACAAUUGGAAGAUUUCUAUUCUGACAAAAUAAAGACAAAUAAUACUGAACAAAUACAACAACAAAAACAUGAUGUAGUUAGUAACAGAGGUGCAUUCUUUUCUCCUGACUUUUAUAGUAUCACUAGUUUUACAUCAAGAUGUCAUUCCCGUUCUUUGGACAACAAUCUGAUGUUUUCAGGCAUCACAGAGUCGACCGUGUUACAGUUUGGUUUGAUUCUGGAGUCUACAAUUGAUUUCAGACAAUUUCAGUGAAAAACAUCUCAAGACCGAAAAAAAAACCCAACAAAAAGGAACAAAAUCCCUUUUCAUGUCUGGAAAAAAACAGCUGGUUUAGCGCUGACAUUUAUCCUGCCGCUGACAAUAUGGGGGUCACACCAUGAGUCUAUUUCUGGUACCCGGUCAGUUUUUUUCAUGUUUCCUUCAGAGGAGAGAGUAAAUAUCUUCCUCAUCCUCUUCAUCCGCAGGCUGCCGACAUCGUCUGAAAGGACAGAGGGAUGUGGAGUCACAUCUUGGCAAAAACAACAGACAAUUGGUUAGGGUGACCGUAUUCUGAUCCCCAAAAAGAGGACACGACCCCGGGGUGGAGUCAUGGAGUCACACGUAGUACAUUUUGAGAGUUUUUUAAGUUGGGUUGAGUGUUUUCUACACAAUAAUAACUCAGUUAUUCCACACGACACAAACUCAAAACUUACCUACCGAAAAGAGGACGUAUGAUAACCCUACAAGUGGUGCUAGUUUGAUAAUGAGAGUGAAUCUGACAGACAGAGAUGUGGAUUGAUGUUUAUACUCUCUGAUUUGAUUGGGUCGUGGUUCAACAUUCUUCAUUAGAUCAGAUUAUUACAUUUCUACUAGAGCCUGAUCACUAAAUCCCUAUCAUAGCCAUAUAAGCAGGGAUACCUGACAUUCCACCUACACUUUCUUACCUUUGUCAUCAUCUGUCAGAUUUUUGGCUCCAAACACUUGGU
RNAcentral lists this long non-coding RNA (3495 nucleotides) under Xyrichtys novacula (pearly razorfish). The record is from RNAcentral. Lineage: Eukaryota; Metazoa; Chordata; Actinopteri; Labriformes; Labridae.